RNAcentral lists this ribosomal RNA (562 nucleotides) under uncultured archaeon. RNAcentral's name for it is "bacterial SSU rRNA". It matches the Rfam family "Archaeal small subunit ribosomal RNA", at positions 326 to 888 of the family's 1478-position model. The record is from RNAcentral.
CGGGGUGCAGCAGGCGCGAAAACUUUACAAUGCGGGAAACCGUGAUAAGGGGACACCGAGUGCCAGCAUCAUAUGCUGGCUGUCCAGGUGUGUAAAAUACACCUGUUAGCAAGGGCCGGGCAAGACCGGUGCCAGCCGCCGCGGUAACACCGGCGGCCCGAGUGGUGAUCGUGAUUAUUGGGUCUAAAGGGUCCGUAGCCGGUUUGGUCAGUCCUCCGGGAAAUCUGACGGCUCAACCGUUAGGCUUUCGGGGGAUACUGCCAGGCUUGGAACCGGGAGAGGUAAGAGGUACUACAGGGGUAGGAGUGAAAUCUUGUAAUCCCUGUGAGACCACCUGUGGCGAAGGCGUCUUACCAGAACGGGUUCGACGGUGAGGGACGAAAGCUGGGGGCACGAACCGGAUUAGAUACCCGGGUAGUCCCAGCCGUAAACGAUGCUCGCUAGGUGUCAGGCAUGGCGCGACCGUGUCUGGUGCCGCAGGGAAGCCGUGAAGCGAGCCACCUGGGAAGUACGGCCGCAAGGCUGAAACUUAAAGGAAUUGGCGGGGGAGCACAAGGGCGAA